RNAcentral lists this unclassified non-coding RNA (288 nucleotides) under Hevea brasiliensis (rubber tree). Lineage: Eukaryota; Viridiplantae; Streptophyta; Magnoliopsida; Malpighiales; Euphorbiaceae. The record is from RNAcentral.
AGACAGUGUAAUAAAGCAUCAAUACGCAUUCAUACCAUACUAAAAAGAAUCUUCUUAUAGAAAUAGAACAAAAAAUCAAGAGCUUCGAGCCAAUAAAGACUAAGAAGAUUGACUCAAGAACCAAUUUGAUUCUGAGCUCCAUUGUAGAAUUCGGACCUAACCAUUAAGUAAGAAGUGAUGGGAACGACGGAACUUGUGAAUGCAAAAGAUUCUAUUGAAAAAGGAAUCUUAAUGAUUCACUGGUCGGGAUGGCGGAACGAACCAUAGAUUCAUGUAUUCUGAGAUCUG